UUAAAAUAUAUUAUGUAUUGUAGUGCUACAAAUAUUUAAGUGUUUUUAGCUUUGCAUUGAAUAUAUCUCAAUUCAUUUGUAAAAAUUAAAAGAUAAAAACAUAUGGCUAAAAUUCUCAAAUUUCUUUAUGUUAUAGUUUUGUUUUUGUCUCUAUUCUUUCUUUCAGCGAAGGCUAUCCUUCCAUGCAAAACUGACGAAGAUUGUGACAAGGUGUUUGUUAGAGUUGACGGGAGUGCGUUUGAUGCCCAAGUUUUGUGCAUUGAAGACGAAUGUUGCUUGUUAAUGCCGAUAUAAGGAACAAAUAUAAAGAAAAAAUUAUGAAUAAUUUAUCUUAUGGUAGAAUAUUUUGUGAAAUUAUGACUUUGUUCUUUAAAAUAUUGACGAUGAAAUGAAAAAUACAAUGAAAAUUACAGCAAUGUAAUUUUUUUCAUA
Long non-coding RNA from Vicia villosa (hairy vetch), 432 nucleotides. RefSeq lists it as uncharacterized. Lineage: Eukaryota; Viridiplantae; Streptophyta; Magnoliopsida; Fabales; Fabaceae. The transcript has 2 exons. The record is from RefSeq and is a predicted model, not a curated record.